Arachis ipaensis is the source of this 156-nucleotide non-coding RNA. Lineage: Eukaryota; Viridiplantae; Streptophyta; Magnoliopsida; Fabales; Fabaceae. The record is from RefSeq and is a predicted model, not a curated record.
UCCUUGCUAGCGUUCGGCCUGUGGAAUCUGGAUACUCCAUAAAGUUCGACAGUAGAGGGUGCCUGCUGCCUAGUGUUGGCUUGUGUGUGUUGUGAGUUUUGGAAUUGAGUUUGACAUUUAGGAGUUGGAGAUAAGUGUCUCAUAACAAGGUAUGUU